UAGAGUUUGAUCCUGGCUCAGGAUGAACGCUAGCUACAGGCUUAACACAUGCAAGUCGAGGGGAAACGACAUCGAAAGCUUGCUUUUGAUGGGCGUCGACCGGCGCACGGGUGAGUAACGCGUAUCCAACCUGCCCAUCACUUGGGGAUAACCUUGCGAAAGUAAGACUAAUACCCAAUGAUAUCUCUAGAAGACAUCUGAAGGAGAUUAAAGAUUUAUCGGUGAUGGAUGGGGAUGCGUCUGAUUAGCUUGUUGGCGGGGUAACGGCCCACCAAGGCGACGAUCAGUAGGGGUUCUGAGAGGAAGGCCCCCCACAUUGGAACUGAGACACGGUCCAAACUCCUACGGGAGGCAGCAGUGAGGAAUAUUGGUCAAUGGGCGAGAGCCUGAACCAGCCAAGUAGCGUGCAGGAUGACGGCCCUAUGGGUUGUAAACUGCUUUUAUAAGGGAAUAAAGUGAGCCUCGUGAGGCUUUUUGCAUGUACCUUAUGAAUAAGGACCGGCUAAUUCCGUGCCAGCAGCCGCGGUAAUACGGAAGGUCCGGGCGUUAUCCGGAUUUAUUGGGUUUAAAGGGAGCGUAGGCCGGAGAUUAAGCGUGUUGUGAAAUGUAGACGCUCAACGUCUGCACUGCAGCGCGAACUGGUUUCCUUGAGUACGCACAAAGUGGGCGGAAUUCGUGGUGUAGCGGUGAAAUGCUUAGAUAUCACGAAGAACUCCGAUUGCGAAGGCAGCUCACUGGAGCGCAACUGACGCUGAAGCUCGAAAGUGCGGGUAUCGAACAGGAUUAGAUACCCUGGUAGUCCGCACGGUAAAC
RNAcentral lists this ribosomal RNA (813 nucleotides) under uncultured bacterium. Its description in RNAcentral is "bacterial SSU rRNA". It matches the Rfam family "Bacterial small subunit ribosomal RNA", at positions 1 to 807 of the family's 1533-position model. The record is from RNAcentral.